Molecule: long non-coding RNA, 263 nt
Filed under: Mytilus galloprovincialis (Mediterranean mussel)
Lineage: Eukaryota; Metazoa; Mollusca; Bivalvia; Mytilida; Mytilidae
Source: RNAcentral
GUUUUUGUUUACAUUCUCUAUGGCGAUAACUUCAAUGGGAAAAUGAUUUGACAUUAGUGAUCCAUACUUAAGAUUUUCAAAGCGUACAAAUGUGAUACACGACCCGGUGUACUUUACAAUAGUAAUUUAUAUAUUUUUAGUUUUUACAUGGAAAAUUGUUGUAUCACUUGGAUACAUUAAAGGUGCGUGCAGAAAAUUUUAUUUUCACCUGUAAUUUGAUAAGGUGUUGAACCAUAUGAGAUUAAAACACCUUUACAGGUAAG